GGAGAGGUAGCUCAGCGAGGUAGAGCAUCAGGGUGAAAUCCUGAGUUUGCGCUGGUUCAAUUCCGGCCCUCUCCGCCA
This 78-nucleotide transfer RNA is filed under the name Deltaproteobacteria bacterium. Its description in RNAcentral is "tRNA-Phe". It matches the Rfam family "tRNA". Rfam says of the family: Transfer RNA (tRNA) molecules are approximately 80 nucleotides in length. Their secondary structure includes four short double-helical elements and three loops (D, anti-codon, and T loops). Lineage: Bacteria; Pseudomonadati; Myxococcota; Myxococcia. The record is from RNAcentral.